UACGUAGGUGGCAAGCGUUUGUCCGGAUUUAUUGGGUUUAAAGGGUGCGUAGGCGGUCUUAUAAGUCAGUGCUGAAAUAUCCCGGCUUAACCGGGAGGGUGGCAUUGAUACUGUAGGACUUGAGUAAAGUUGAGGUUGGCGGAAUUGACGGUGUAGCGGUGAAAUGCUUAGAUAUCGUCAAGAACACCUAUAGCGAAGGCAGCUAACUAAACUUUAACUGACGCUGAGGCACGAAAGUGUGGGGAUCAAACAGG
RNAcentral lists this ribosomal RNA (254 nucleotides) under uncultured bacterium. Its description in RNAcentral is "partial 16S ribosomal RNA". It matches the Rfam family "Bacterial small subunit ribosomal RNA", at positions 524 to 776 of the family's 1533-position model. The record is from RNAcentral.